Molecule: transfer RNA, 87 nt
Filed under: Myxococcaceae bacterium
Lineage: Bacteria; Pseudomonadati; Myxococcota; Myxococcia; Myxococcales; Myxococcaceae
Description: tRNA-Ser
Rfam family: tRNA
About the family: Transfer RNA (tRNA) molecules are approximately 80 nucleotides in length.
Source: RNAcentral
GGAGAGCUGGCCGAGUGGUCGAAGGCACCUGACUCGAAAUCAGGCAUACCGGCAACGGUAUCUAAGGUUCGAAUCCUUAGCUCUCCG